CUCAUCUAUUUCUCUUCGUCCAUGGUGAUUUUUUUCUCCUCUUUCCACUCCUACACCUCUUCCUCUUCCCCCUUUCUUUCCUAUUCAUCCUUCUUUCCUUCUCUAUAGCUCCUCUCUCCACCUUCACUGCCUCUCCUUCCUCCUCCUCCUCCUUCCUCCUCUCUUAUUGAUCCCCUCUUCCUCCGUCGCUAGCAUCUCUCUUUCUUCCUCCUCAUUCCUCCUUACCCAUUUCUCCUCCUCUAUGAGAGCUCUCUCCACCUCCGUCCAUUCCUCUACCACCUCCUCCUCCUCCCUCCUUCUUUCUGAUUGAUCCCCUCCGAUCCUUCCUUCCUCCUCCUCUUCUAAGCCAUCCCUCUCCAUGGUAGCCCCCACUCCUCCUCCUUCUCAUCCUCCUCCUCCCUCCUUUCUCCUUUCUGAUUGAUCCCCUCCUUCCUUU
Molecule: long non-coding RNA, 436 nt
Filed under: Elaeis guineensis (African oil palm)
Lineage: Eukaryota; Viridiplantae; Streptophyta; Magnoliopsida; Arecales; Arecaceae
Description: long non-coding RNA (EGUI_LNC028592)
Source: RNAcentral